This is a long non-coding RNA of Mauremys reevesii (Reeves's turtle), 1707 nucleotides long. RefSeq lists it as uncharacterized. The transcript has 4 exons. The record is from RefSeq and is a predicted model, not a curated record. NCBI's taxonomy places the organism in Eukaryota, Metazoa, Chordata, Testudines, Geoemydidae.
GCAAGCCUCCGCGCCUUUUCUACAGCCUCUCUGACAUCACGUCCUGGCCAGUCCCCAUUGGCUGCAGCAGCUCCUGGCCCAGGCAGCAUGUGCUUGGGAUGGAGGCACUGAGUGGAGACGGGAGAGGCAUGACUAGGGACCAUCACUCUAGGUAACUAACAUCUGAGCACGUGGACCCUAUUCUCUGCUGCAGAUCCGCCUUGUGCACCCAGAAGAGAGAGUGCUUGGAGCAGAGGAACAGCAGCCACUCAAACUCAGAUCAGCAUCGUAGGUGACAGGUGAACAAAUCACAGGUCUUGAGUUUCUCUACCCUGCCUCUCUCUGGUAACGUCAUCUCCAGUACCAUCUGCUACCUACCAGCUAAACAGACCAACCACAUAAUGAGGUACCAGCUUCCACCCAGCUACCGUGACUAAAUCAGAACAAAAGAAUUCAACGCCUCCUUCAACAAAGGGACACAAGUCUAAGCUGUCUUUGCUAAUUGCUGGGUUUCAGGUUGUCUGUUACAGAUUUUAAGUGAGCUGCAAACUUGCAUCCAUACUUUAUAGCUGUUGGAUAAAGAUAAUGCGAAUAAAAGAUAAAUGGAAACCGAAGGCAAUGAUGCUGUUCUCCUAAAAUGUGAGACAGUUUUCUUCUUGACAGCAAGUGGAGCCCAGCUCUGCAUCUCUCUCAGUCACUGGAGAAAGACUAACAUGCUUCAGAUCCAGUUGCUUUCCAGACAGACUUGAAAUGAUUCAAUGAAAUGAUUACUCCAUUCAUCUGUCACAUUUUAUACUUAUUGUGUAACAAGUGAGACACUGUGGGUCAUUUUAAAGUAAAAGAGAAUAGUGGUAUAAUCCUAUUAAAGACAUCAGACUAUUUAAAAAUAGGACAGAUAUUAACAUCACCCUAAACUGUAAAUGAAUGUAUUUGUAAAGGUGUUUUAACUUUCCAGAGUGAAGCACAUUUUAUGUUGCUGUUUCUUUGCUACACCAUCACUAUCCUUAUCCAGCUAGUGCAGCCGGGUGUAUGAGUCAUAGGAAAUUAUAUUUCUUGCUUAUUAAAGUGGAUUGUCUCAGGAAUAUUUCAUAGUGUAUAUUUUUUCAGUCACAUAAAGAUGUUGAGAGAAUAACUGGCAACCUAUUUAAAUGUCCUUUGCUUAAGAGAUGUCUAUUAUAUUUGCUGGGGAUUUUUUCAAUUUUUAUUGCCUUUCUAAACUGUUAAUUAUGUAUCAAAAUGUAUUGCUGUCACCAGUCUAACAUGAACAAAGCAAUAGCGUGAGCUGCCUGAGAUAUUUCAGCAUAGUAUUAAUUACAAGCAUAGUAAUAAAUGAAAAUUCUACAAACCUCUCCAAUUGCAUUUGUUUGUAACCCCAGUUGAUGAAUGUUUUAUACUAGCACGUGGCAAAAAAUACCAUUCCAGGGACUCAGCAACUAAAUAUGAUCUAAACCCAGAAUCUUUGGGGCAGGUUAGCGUCUCUUGGAUCUAUAAUCUCACCAUUUGCUCCAAUCUGAAUGAGCUCCCUUGCUGUUUCUCAGCAGUAUACCUAGUUUAAGACAAUGCAAACAGCCCACUUUCCAGAAGAUGAUCAGCAAAGAAUGUGUUUUAUUCUGAUUUGAAAAACUGUCAAUCAUUGGUAAAUAAGAUCAGAUAGUAUUACUUUAUAAAAUUAUCAAAUUGUAUUUGCCUUAUUUGCAAGAAGAAUAAAAAAUGUUUGUAAGGAAAAUA